RNAcentral lists this ribosomal RNA (497 nucleotides) under uncultured bacterium. Its description in RNAcentral is "partial 16S ribosomal RNA". It matches the Rfam family "Bacterial small subunit ribosomal RNA", at positions 28 to 507 of the family's 1533-position model. The record is from RNAcentral.
GAUGAACGCUGGCGGCGUGCCUAAUACAUGCAAGUCGAGCGAACGGACGAGAAGCUUGCUUUUCUGAUGUUAGCGGCGGACGGGUGAGUAACACGUGGAUAACCUACCUAUAAGACUGGGAUAACUUCGGGAAACCGGAGCUAAUACCGGAUAAUAUUUUGAACCGCAUGGUUCAAAAGUGAAAGACGGUCUUGCUGUCACUUAUAGAUGGAUCCGCGCUGCAUUAGCUAGUUGGUAAGGUAACGGCUUACCAAGGCAACGAUGCAUAGCCGACCUGAGAGGGUGAUCGGCCACACUGGAACUGAGACACGGUCCAGACUCCUACGGGAGGCAGCAGUAGGGAAUCUUCCGCAAUGGGCGAAAGCCUGACGGAGCAACGACGCGUGAGUGAUGAAGGUCUUCGGAUCGUAAAACUCUGUUAUUAGGGAAGAACAUAUGUGUAAGUAACUGUGCACAUCUUGACGGUACCUAAUCAGAAAGCCACGGCUAACUACGUG